This 407-nucleotide ribosomal RNA is filed under the name uncultured bacterium. RNAcentral describes it as "partial 16S ribosomal RNA". It matches the Rfam family "Bacterial small subunit ribosomal RNA", at positions 28 to 526 of the family's 1533-position model. The record is from RNAcentral.
GACGAACGCUGGCGGCGUGCCUAAUACAUGCAAGUAGAACGCAGUUGCGAACGGGUGAGUCACGCGUAGGUAACUGCCUCAUAGCGGGGGAUAACUAUUGGAACCGAUAGCUCAUACCGCAUACUUUGCGAUGGACCUGCUUUGUAUUAGCUAGUUGGUGAGGUAAAGGCUCACCAAGGCGACGAUACAUAGCCGACCUGAGAGGGGGAGCGGCCAAACUGGGACUGAGACACGGCGCAGACGCCUACGGGAGGCCGAAGUAGGGAAUCUUAGGAAAUGGACGGAAGUCUGACCGAGAAACGGCGCGUGAGUGAAGAAGGGUUUCGGAUCGUAAAGCUCUGUUGUGAGAGAAGCGGUAACUAACAAGAAAGGGACGGCUAACUACGUGCCAGCAGCCGCGGUAAUUC